This 227-nucleotide unclassified non-coding RNA is filed under the name soil metagenome. Its description in RNAcentral is "partial internal transcribed spacer 1". The record is from RNAcentral.
AUGAAUGAACGAGGGGUUGUCGCUGGCUCUCAGGAGCAUGUGCACGCCUCUCACAAUUCAUCUUAACCACCUGUGCACUUUUAGUAGGCUUAUUGAUAACGCUCAAUCUUCGGAUUGGAUAGAGGACUAUGCUAACGCUGGUCUUCAAUAUCAAUGGCCUAUGUUAUUAUCUACCAAUAAAGUCUAGAAUGUCUUGUUAUUAGGUCUAGUACCUAUAAACUAUUAUA